AUUGAACGCUGGCGGCAUGCCUUACACAUGCAAGUCGAACGGCAGCGCGGACUUCGGUCUGGCGGCGAGUGGCGAACGGGUGAGUAAUACAUCGGAACGUACCCUGUUGUGGGGGAUAGCUAGUCGAAAGAUUAGCUAAUACCGCAUACGACCUGAGGGUGAAAGUGGGGGACCGGAAACGGCCUCAUGCAGCAGGAGCGGCCGAUGUCUGAUUAGCUAGUUGGUGGGGUAAAGGCCCACCAAGGCGACGAUCAGUAGCUGGUCUGAGAGGACGAUCAGCCACACUGGGACUGAGACACGGCCCAGACUCCUACGGGAGGCAGCAGUGGGGAAUUUUGGACAAUGGGGGCAACCCUGAUCCAGCAAUGCCGCGUGUGUGAAGAAGGCCUUCGGGUUGUAAAGCACUUUUGUCCGGAAAGAAAUCGCGCUGGUUAAUACCUGGCGUGGAUGACGGUACCGGAAGAAUAAGCACCGGCUAACUACGUG
This 486-nucleotide ribosomal RNA is filed under the name uncultured bacterium. RNAcentral describes it as "partial 16S ribosomal RNA". It matches the Rfam family "Bacterial small subunit ribosomal RNA", at positions 30 to 507 of the family's 1533-position model. The record is from RNAcentral.